Molecule: long non-coding RNA, 1440 nt
Organism: Brachypodium distachyon (stiff brome)
Lineage: Eukaryota; Viridiplantae; Streptophyta; Magnoliopsida; Poales; Poaceae
Exons: 2
Source: RefSeq, a predicted model, not a curated record
ACGCGCCUAAAUGCCUGUCGACGCUCUACACUCGCCUCGCCGGUGCGUCUCCCCAUCUGGUUCUCCUGAUAAAGCAAACGCAUCAUGGUCAGCAAAACAUGCAUGCAGAGAGAAAAAGCAAUUAAACCGGUGAACCGAGGGAUGUGGCGAGGCUCUGGUUUCCUUCCCUUUGUUGCUUGGCUCGAAAAAAAGCAGCAGAAAUCAGGAGCAGCACACAGCAGGUCUAGUCGUGAUCAGCCUACGCAUAAAUAGGCGCAGAAUAAGUUGUUGUGCCCGAGGAAGACAGGGAGGUUCCAAAAUAGUAUCGGCACCUAUCUACUACCAGUACUCGAAUAGAUCAUCUAGAUAUAUGUGCAGUGCAGGGGCCUACGAACUGAUCCUUCUCUGAACUCUGAACAAGCUGUAAAAUAUUUACAAAGAAAGUGGUAGGAGGAGUAUCAGAUAUGGUCGCUUUAUACGUUGUUCCUCCGGCAUGGCUCCAAUGAUUCCACUACCAUAUGGUUCUGGUUGAUGGCGACAUGUGAUGUGAGCAUCGUAUCGUAUCAGCUAAACAGAGAGCCAAGACAGUCAGGGGAACCGGAACGCAGGACUGGUGGUGGUCAUCAGGUCAUUUCUUGGUUCCCCUCUUCCUUCCUUUGUUGGAUUUUGGGGUUGGGAUCGAAAGCGACCAUGUGAUCUCGAUCGAUGCACUUCUCCUUGGCUUUGAGUUUGGUUCGGGGCUCCGUUCCCAAACCGGACGGACGGACGGACUCAUCGCUGUCCCUUGUGCCUGCUGCCUCCUGUUUUAAUUAGCUCUCUCGGCCAAUGGCCAUGGCGCAUCGCUAUCGUCCCCUUAUACUGGAAUCAUAGCUGCUCUCCCGGAGAGAUUUUCCUGCUUUUGAGAGGGCCAACCACCCGGCCAGGUUGGCGUACAUCGCCGUUCAUGGAUAUCGCUAUCGCCUGGAAUCAAUCUCCUGCCGCGGCAGGGAGACAGGAUGGGGGAAUGUUUCUUUGACCGGAUGGGUCCCUGCUUCCUUUCCUUUGGACCGUGGAGCUCUGUCAUUCUCGUUCGAAGGGCGGAGGAAGGUUAGUUUGUGCGCGCGCGGCGUGGCGUGCUGCAAUGAGUGCUGGCACCGGGCUGCCACGCCUCAAGCCACCACAAGCAGAUUGGUGGUUUGGCUUGCCUCUCGCCAAGUGUUAAUUGGUUCUUAAUUUUGAUGUACAAAUUCGACGAGAAAGGAAAAUGCUAAUCAUAGGUCGGGGGUUGAACGUCCCUUCAUGUGAAAUCUCUAUUGCCUCUUUAUGUUCAGUUUUGCAAUUUCUGAAAUGUGUUAGGCCUCUCAUGAUGCUACUAGGUGGCGUUAUCUCUAGCAUCUGUAUUAUUAGUAAGAGACAACACAUAGAAGACUAUUCAUUGGAAGAUAACUUAGUUGAAUUUAUUUUACAAUUCCUUGCGUGACA